CCCUCAAUCACAGCAGUGAUACUAGAACAAAUACCAAAAAGAAAGAAGACACACUUCAAGGACACACACUUGAUCUUGCUUAAAAGUUUCAAUCAAGUAAACAAAUACACUCGUACUUCAAAGCUUAGAGUGGACAAAUUACAACUCAAAAACUCAGUCCAAUUGACACAUCAACAAGAUGGAUGAAUGGCUCACAAUUCACAAACUCACACAAGACUAAAA
RNAcentral lists this long non-coding RNA (222 nucleotides) under Lathyrus oleraceus (garden pea). RNAcentral describes it as "Pisum sativum (pea) long non-coding RNA (PSAT_LNC005932)". Lineage: Eukaryota; Viridiplantae; Streptophyta; Magnoliopsida; Fabales; Fabaceae. The record is from RNAcentral.